AAAUCGCCCCCUAAGUUUUGCAACUGUAGCAGUUUUGACCCCAGGGACAAUUUUUGGUAAAAAUAAAAUUAAAAAGUAACACGUGGCACCUCACUUAGGGUGCCACGUCAGUGUAGACCGAGUCAAAGUUGGCCUUGGGUGCUAAAACUGCUACAGAUGCAAAACUUAGGGGGCGAUUU
RNAcentral lists this microRNA precursor (179 nucleotides) under Medicago truncatula (barrel medic). RNAcentral's name for it is "MIR2619 microRNA precursor family". It matches the Rfam family "MIR2619 microRNA precursor family". Lineage: Eukaryota; Viridiplantae; Streptophyta; Magnoliopsida; Fabales; Fabaceae. The record is from Rfam by way of RNAcentral.